RNAcentral lists this ribosomal RNA (670 nucleotides) under Klebsiella pneumoniae. Its description in RNAcentral is "partial 23S ribosomal RNA". It matches the Rfam family "Bacterial large subunit ribosomal RNA", at positions 1183 to 1838 of the family's 2925-position model. The record is from RNAcentral. RNAcentral also lists the same sequence under 1 other name. Lineage: Bacteria; Pseudomonadati; Pseudomonadota; Gammaproteobacteria; Enterobacterales; Enterobacteriaceae.
UAAACCAUGCACCGAAGCUGCGGCAGCGACACUAUGUGUUGUUGGGUAGGGGAGCGUUCUGUAAGCCUGCGAAGGUGUGCUGUGAGGCAUGCUGGAGGUAUCAGAAGUGCGAAUGCUGACAUAAGUAACGAUAAAGCGGGUGAAAAGCCCGCUCGCCGGAAGACCAAGGGUUCCUGUCCAACGUUAAUCGGGGCAGGGUGAGUCGACCCCUAAGGCGAGGCCGAAAGGCGUAGUCGAUGGGAAACAGGUUAAUAUUCCUGUACUUGGUGUUACUGCGAAGGGGGGACGGAGAAGGCUAUGUUAGCCGGGCGACGGUUGUCCCGGUUUAAGCAUGUAGGCUGAUUAUCCAGGCAAAUCCGGAUAAUCAAGGCUGAGGUGUGAUGACGAGGCACUACGGUGCUGAAGUAACAAAUGCCCUGCUUCCAGGAAAAGCCUCUAAGCAUCAGGUAACAUCAAAUCGUACCCCAAACCGACACAGGUGGUCAGGUAGAGAAUACCAAGGCGCUUGAGAGAACUCGGGUGAAGGAACUAGGCAAAAUGGUGCCGUAACUUCGGGAGAAGGCACGCUGGUGUGUAGGUGAAGCCCCUGCGGGUGGAGCUGAGACCAGUCGAAGAUACCAGCUGGCUGCAACUGUUUAUUAAAAACACAGCACUGUGCAAACACGAAAGU